Molecule: ribosomal RNA, 467 nt
Filed under: uncultured bacterium
Lineage: Bacteria
Description: partial 16S ribosomal RNA
Rfam family: Bacterial small subunit ribosomal RNA
Source: RNAcentral
GAUGAACGCUGGCGGCGUGCUUAACACAUGCAAGUCGAACGGAAAGGCCCAAGCUUGCUUGGGUACUCGAGUGGCGAACGGGUGAGUAACACGUGGGUGAUCUGCCCUGCACUUCGGGAUAAGCCUGGGAAACUGGGUCUAAUACCGGAUAGGACCACAUUUUGGAUGGUGUGGUGGAAAGUUUUUCGGUGUGGGAUGAGCUCGCGGCCUAUCAGCUUGUUGGUGGGGUAAUGGCCUACCAAGGCGUCGACGGGUAGCCGGCCUGAGAGGGUGAACGGCCACAUUGGGACUGAGAUACGGCCCAGACUCCUACGGGAGGCAGCAGUGGGGAAUAUUGCACAAUGGGCGCAAGCCUGAUGCAGCGACGCCGCGUGGGGGAUGACGGCCUUCGGGUUGUAAACUCCUUUCGCUAGGGACGAAGCGUUUUUGUGACGGUACCUGGAGAAGAAGCACCGGCUAACUACGUG